GAUGAACGCUGGCGGCGUGCCUAAUACAUGCAAGUCGAGCGAACGGACGAGAAGCUUGCUUCUCUGAUGUUAGCGGCGGACGGGUGAGUAACACGUGGAUAACCUACCUAUAAGACUGGGAUAACUUCGGGAAACCGGAGCUAAUACCGGAUGAUAUUUUGAACCGCAUGGUUCAAAAGUGAAAGACGGUCUUGCUGUCACUUAUAGAUGGAUCCGCGCUGCAUUAGCUAGUUGGUAAGGUAACGGCUUACCAAGGCAACGAUGCAUAGCCGACCUGAGAGGGUGAUCGGCCACACUGGAACUGAGACACGGUCCAGACUCCUACGGGAGGCAGCAGUAGGGAAUCUUCCGCAAUUGGCGAAAGCCUGACGGAGCAACGCCGCGUGAGUGAUGAAGGUCUUCGGAUCGUAAAACUCUGUUAUUAGGGAAGAACAUAUGUGUAAGUAACUGUGCACAUCUUGACGGUACCUAAUCAGAAAGCCACGGCUAACUACGUG
RNAcentral lists this ribosomal RNA (497 nucleotides) under uncultured bacterium. RNAcentral's name for it is "partial 16S ribosomal RNA". It matches the Rfam family "Bacterial small subunit ribosomal RNA", at positions 28 to 507 of the family's 1533-position model. The record is from RNAcentral.